RNAcentral lists this ribosomal RNA (84 nucleotides) under Paraclostridium sordellii. The record is from RNAcentral. Lineage: Bacteria; Bacillati; Bacillota; Clostridia; Peptostreptococcales; Peptostreptococcaceae.
CCCAUUCCGAACACAGAAGUUAAGCUCUUUAGCGCCGAUGGUACUUGGUGGGAAGCUGCCUGGGAGAGUAGGACGUAGCCACGU